UCCCAAACAGCCUGAUCUGCAGAGAUUGGAUAAACCUGUCAACGGUGACCAGCUGUGAGGUCCAACCAUUAGCUCUGAGGACGGCUCUACUUCUGGGCAAAAUAUGGCCAAGCUCCAAGGGGGUCUGAGAAGUCAUGUAGGGCAACUCCCUAAUUUUACAGAAUAACCGAGGAACAGAGAAGGGGAUGGGUGAGGGCAGACUUCUCCCAAGUCACACGAAGCAUUAUUGGAAUAGGGAACUUUUCAAGGUGGAGAAGCCCCUAAGGGAGUAUCAAUACCAUUGCAAGCAUCUCCAGAAGUCUUCAGAACAGCUCGAUCACACCUUCCUCUUGGCCUUGUCAGACGAAGUGUCAGGAGAAAUCGAUGAUGUCAUGGGGCAUGUUGGAUGGACUUCCUGUGGCGGACUUAUGGGAGGAUCUGGACAGAGGAGAGAAAGGCAUGGAUGCUACCGUACAUAGCAAGCUGUA
Phascolarctos cinereus (koala) is the source of this 467-nucleotide non-coding RNA. NCBI's taxonomy places the organism in Eukaryota, Metazoa, Chordata, Mammalia, Diprotodontia, Phascolarctidae. The record is from RefSeq and is a predicted model, not a curated record.